This 253-nucleotide ribosomal RNA is filed under the name uncultured bacterium. RNAcentral describes it as "partial 16S ribosomal RNA". It matches the Rfam family "Bacterial small subunit ribosomal RNA", at positions 524 to 776 of the family's 1533-position model. The record is from RNAcentral.
GACGGAGGAGGCAAUCGUUAUCCGGAAUUAUUGGGCGUAAAGGGUACGUAGGCGGCUGGUCAAGUCUGGGGUCAAAGGCCACAGCUCAACUGUGGGAAGGCCCUGGAAACUGGCCGGCUAGAGUGAGGUAGGGGUUGCGGGAAUUCCCGGUGUAGCGGUGAAAUGCGUAGAGAUCGGGAAGAACACCUGAGGCGGAAGCGCGCAACUGGGCCUCAACUGACGCUGAGGUACGAAAGCUAGGGGAGGGAAUGGG